GACGUAGGGGGCAAGCGUUGUCCGGAAUUAUUGGGCGUAAAGCGCUCGUAGGCGGAUCGGUAAGUCUGUGAAGAAAGACCCGGGCUCAACUCGGGGAACGGCAUAGAUACUGCUGAUCUUGAGACAGUCAGAGGAUGAUGGAAUUCCAGGUGUAGCGGUGAAAUGCGUAGAUAUCUGGAGGAACACCUGUGGCGAAGGCGGCCCCCUGGGCCGGGCCUGACGCUGAGACGCGAAGGCGCGGGGAGCGAACGGG
This 253-nucleotide ribosomal RNA is filed under the name uncultured bacterium. Its description in RNAcentral is "partial 16S ribosomal RNA". It matches the Rfam family "Bacterial small subunit ribosomal RNA", at positions 524 to 776 of the family's 1533-position model. The record is from RNAcentral.